CCCCCGCCGGUCUCCUACCCCCCAGAUCUGCCCAUCCGCCAUGGCGCCUCCACCGCACCGCCACCUGCUGCUGCUGCUGCUCCUCCUCCCCCUCGUCCUCCUCGCGGCCACACCUGCCGGCGCUGAUGACCUUGUCUCGGAGCUCCAGUCCCUCCGCGCGCGGUCCCCGUCCGGCGUGAUCCACCUCACCGACACCGCUGUCACCCGUUUCCUCACCGCCCCCUCCUCGCGCCGCCCCUACUCCGUGCUCGUCUUCUUCGACGCCGCUUCGCUCCACUCCAAGCCCGACCUCCACCUGCCCCAGCUCCGCACCGAGUUCGCGCUCCUCUCCGCCUCCUUC
RNAcentral lists this long non-coding RNA (340 nucleotides) under Sorghum bicolor (sorghum). RNAcentral's name for it is "long non-coding RNA (SBIC_LNC000354)". The record is from RNAcentral. Lineage: Eukaryota; Viridiplantae; Streptophyta; Magnoliopsida; Poales; Poaceae.